Molecule: long non-coding RNA, 1732 nt
Organism: Lontra canadensis (Northern American river otter)
Lineage: Eukaryota; Metazoa; Chordata; Mammalia; Carnivora; Mustelidae
Exons: 3
Source: RefSeq, a predicted model, not a curated record
ACCCCGGUGCGGCCCCCGCCUGCCCGCGCGCGCACACACUCGGGCCCCCCGCGGCCGGACCCACGGGGGCGGUGCGCGAACCCCGCGGCCGGAGGGGGCCCCGCCUCUAGGCGGGCCAGGCGCCGGCAGAGGGGGAGCGCACCCCGACUUCCCUGGAUCACAUGGGCUGCAGGGGGCGGGUGGAUCGGGGGAGGGGGAGGCGCGGGGAGCUUGCCGCCGCUCCUCGCUCGGGCAGGGGAGAAGACGCCCCCCACCCCCUCUAGUUCGGCCUCUCCAUUCAAGUUCGCCGGCCCCGGCGUCCGGGAUCCGGGGAUGGCACUAGCAGCCUGCCCAGCUCUGCGCCCUUUUUUUCCAGCCGCCGCGCAGAAAUUUAGGUCAAGGACGUCGGGAUCAAACCCAAACCCUGGCGCUCCUCGGCGGGCCCCGAGACCCCCCAGGAUCGGGGAGCUUCAGGAUUGCGGAGACCCUCCCGCACAAACAGCAGCCACAAGUUUUAUUUUCCUUUGGCGCUGGAAGUUCUCUCUGGCUCUCGCUCCACACCGGCACGUCUUGCGCCGCUCCCCGCCCUUCCCCGGCAGAGGAUUAGGACACAAUGGAAUACACUCAACACCAAAACUAUACCAAAUCCACUGUGGGUCGUGGCAAAGUGGAAUAUUUGGAAAAUCCCAACACUAGCCAAAGCCUUGAAUGACCAGAUUCUUAAUCUCCCUGCCUCCUAAAUUUGGGAUAAUUCCUCACUGACAGGAUUGAUGGAGUGAAAGGAGAGACUGAAAUCACUUGUUCUGGGGGAAGCAGCUGCCAUAUCAUGAAGAUGAUCAAGUAGCCAAGUGGAGAGGCCCACGUGGAGAUGAACUGAGGUUUGCUACCAGCAACACAAUCUUGCCAGGACUAUGAGCUAGACACAUUAAAGGCAGAUCUGCCAGCCCCGGUCAGACCUUCAGAUGAUUGCUACCUUGGCCUAUGCCUUGACUGCCACUUUGUGAGAAACCUUAAGCCAGAACCUCCCAACUACACCAAUCCCCAUUCCUGACCCUCAGAUACUGUGUGAGAUAGUCAAGACUUGUUGUCUGAAGCUACUAAAUUGGGAUAAUUUGUUGUCCAGAAUAGAUAACGAAUACAAAGAUACUUCACAACGCACUAAAAUAGAGCUGCUCACUUUAUAGGCUUGCGCCAGGAUUCAUAUGCUAACAUUUAUAGAGCGUUUUAGUUAGACUCAGGCCAAAUGAACUGCAUAUUAGAUAUAAAGCAGCGAUUGCAUAUUAUUAAUGUUAUCAGAUUGCAACACAUUUCAUGUUCAAUUACCUAAAAUGCUCUUUCUGGAGCACCGCUUUGCUCAUCAUCUUAUCCCCACUGCACACUUAUAAAAGGUCACUGUCAAGAUAUAAAAGUAUAUAUAUGAUUUAAACGUCUUGACUCAGUUGCUAACAACCGUGAGCAUGUUUUCAAAUUGGAAAAGCAAGAUUAAUCUAAACUUGCUCUUUUUCACACAAUGUACUUUGUUUACUUUUAGGAUUGCAUUUCACUGCCAAGCCAAGUGUGUCUCUGAUUAAAGAGUGUGUUCACUUCAUCUCUCAUAGUCUCUUACAAGCCUCCCUUUAAGAAUAGAUAUGGCAGACUUUGCACCAAAAAAGCAAACCAUAUUUUUACCAGAAACUAUUUAGUGAAAUGAGUUUUUAUUCAUGAAAACUUCACUAAGUAUAAAUUUCGUGUCUGAAAGUAAUGGGCCCUUUGU